CAGUGCAGUCACCCAUAAAGUAGAAAGCACUACUAACAGCACUGGAGGGUGUAGUGUUUCCUACUUUAUGGAUGAGUGUACUGU
Pteropus alecto (black flying fox) is the source of this 84-nucleotide non-coding RNA. Lineage: Eukaryota; Metazoa; Chordata; Mammalia; Chiroptera; Pteropodidae. The record is from Rfam.